Molecule: non-coding RNA, 125 nt
Organism: Triticum aestivum (bread wheat)
Lineage: Eukaryota; Viridiplantae; Streptophyta; Magnoliopsida; Poales; Poaceae
Source: Rfam
UGAUUACUCCCUCCAUCCGAAAAUACUUGUUGGAGAAAUGGAUGUAUCUAGACGUAUUUUAGUUCUACAUACAUCCAUUGUUAUCCAUUGCUUCGACAAGUAUUUUGGGACGGAGGGAGUACUAU